UUCGCAGACGUUGGGUUUUGGGGGAAUUUUGGGGGGUUUUUUGGGCCGGAAUCCCGAGUUAAUCCCGAGUUAAUCCCGUGUUAAUCCCGGGUUCAUCCCGAGUUAAUCCCGAGUUAAUCCCGAGUUAAUCCCGGGGAUCAUCCCGGGUUCAUCCCAGCCUAACCCCUCCCCAGGCAUGGUAGACGUGAUCUUCACAGACGUUGGAUUUUGGGGGAAUUUCGGGUUCCUGGUGGGAAUUUUGGGGGAAUUUCGGGGUUUUUUGGGCCAGAAUCCCGCGUUAAUCCCGAGUUAAUCCAGAGUUAAUCCCGGGUUCAUCCCGAUUAAUCCCGAGUUAAUCCUGUGUUAAUCCCGAGUUCAUCCCGGGUUAAUCCCGGCCUAACCCCUCCCCCAGGCAUGGUGGACGUGAUCUUCGCGGACGUUGGGUUUUGGGGGAAUUUUGGGGUUUUUUGGGCCGGAAUCCCGAGUUAAUCCCGAGUUAAUCCUGUGUUAAUCCCAGGUUCAUCCCGGGUUCAUCCCGGCCUAACCCCUCCCCCAGGCAUGGUGGACGUGAUCUUCACGGACGUUGGAUUUUGGGGGAAUUUUGGGGUUUUUUGGGCCAGAAUCCCGAGUUAAUCCCGAGUUAAUCCCGAGUUAAUCCCGAGUUCAUCCUGGGUUCAUCCCGAGUUCAUCCCGGGUUAAUCCCGGCCUAACCCCUCCCCCAGGCAUGGUGGACAUGAUCUUCGCGGACGUUGGGUUUUGGGGGAAUUUUGGGGUUUUUUGGGCCGGAAUCCCGAGUUAAUCCUGUGUUAAUCCCAGGUUCAUCCCGGGUUCAUCCUGAGUUAAUCCCGGGUUUAUCCUGAGUUAAUCCCGGGUUUAUCCCGAGUUAAUCCCGGCCUAA
Corvus hawaiiensis (hawaiian crow) is the source of this 877-nucleotide long non-coding RNA. RefSeq lists it as uncharacterized. The transcript has 3 exons. The record is from RefSeq and is a predicted model, not a curated record. Lineage: Eukaryota; Metazoa; Chordata; Aves; Passeriformes; Corvidae.